This 519-nucleotide ribosomal RNA is filed under the name uncultured eukaryote. RNAcentral describes it as "bacterial SSU rRNA". It matches the Rfam family "Eukaryotic small subunit ribosomal RNA", at positions 1161 to 1645 of the family's 1831-position model. The record is from RNAcentral.
AGGGCACCACCAGGAGUGGAGCCUGCGGCUUAAUUUGACUCAACACGGGAAAACUUACCCGGCCCGGACACUGGAAGGAUUGACAGAUUGAGAGCUCUUUCUUGAUUCAGUGGGUGGUGGUGCAUGGCCGUUCUUAGUUGGUGGAGCGAUUUGUCUGGUUAAUUCCGAUAACGAACGAGACUCUAGCCUACUAAAUAGACUGUUCAGCUUUAUAGCCGGAAUCACCGGGUGCGUGCCUCUCGGGGUGCGUAUUCGGCUCUGGUGACGCUGGCAGUGCUUCUUAGAGGGACAGGCGGCGGUUCAGCCGCACGAAACAGAGCAAUAACAGGUCUGUGAUGCCCUUAGAUGUCCGGGGCUGCACGCGCGCUACACUGAAGUGAUCAGCGUGCAAUUCAAGUUUGGUGAUCUGUCAAGAUUGCCCAACCCGUUGAACCUUCUUCGUGAUUGGGAUAGGGGAUUGUAACUAUUCCCCUUGAACGAGGAAUUCCCAGUAAGUGCAAGUCAUAAGCUUGCGUUGAU